GUUAGGGUGGCAGAUCCCGGCCAAUGCAAAAGGCCUAAGCCCUUUACACAGAGGUUCAAAUCCUCUCCCUAACU
Molecule: transfer RNA, 74 nt
Filed under: Oxyzygonectes dovii
Lineage: Eukaryota; Metazoa; Chordata; Actinopteri; Cyprinodontiformes; Anablepidae
Description: tRNA-Leu
Rfam family: tRNA
About the family: Transfer RNA (tRNA) molecules are approximately 80 nucleotides in length. Their secondary structure includes four short double-helical elements and three loops (D, anti-codon, and T loops).
Source: RNAcentral